UAGGAGAACGCUGGCGGCGNGCNUAAUACAUGCAAGUCGAGCGGAUCUUUAGAAGCUUGCUUCUAAAGAUUAGCGGCGGACGGGUGAGUAACACGUGGGCAACCUGCCUGUAAGACUGGGAUAACUUCGGGAAACCGAGGCUAAUACCAGAUAAUCCUUUUCCUCACAUGAGGGAAAGCUGAAAGACGGCAUCACGCUGUCACUUACAGAUGGGCCCGCGGCGCAUUAGCUAGUUGGUGAGGUAACAGCUCACCAAGGCGACGAUGCGUAGCCGACCUGAGAGGGUGAUCGGCCACACUGGGACUGAGACACGGCCCAGACUCCUACGGGAGGCAGCAGUAGGGAAUCUUCCGCAAUGGACGAAAGUCUGACGGAGCAACGCCGCGUGAACGAUGAAGGCCUUCGGGUCGUAAAGUUCUGUUGUU
This 425-nucleotide ribosomal RNA is filed under the name uncultured bacterium. RNAcentral's name for it is "bacterial SSU rRNA". It matches the Rfam family "Bacterial small subunit ribosomal RNA", at positions 28 to 440 of the family's 1533-position model. The record is from RNAcentral.